CUACGCUCGUCUCAAAGAUUAAGCCAUGCAUGUGUAAGUAUAAAUGAUUUUACUUUGAUACUGCGUAUGGCUCAUUAUAUCAGUUAUAGUUUAUUAGGAAUACUUUACUGCUUGGAUAACCGUAGUGAUUCUAGGGCUAAUACAUGAAUAUAUCCUCUACUUCGGUAGAGGUGUGUUUAUUAGUAUGGGGGCCAUAUAUCUUCGGAUAUGUUGGUGAGUGAUGAUGACCUUUCAUAUCGUGUGUCGUGGGAUGACGAUGGUUCUUUCGGGUUUCUGCCCUUCAGC
This 285-nucleotide ribosomal RNA is filed under the name Blastocystis sp. Its description in RNAcentral is "partial small subunit ribosomal RNA". It matches the Rfam family "Eukaryotic small subunit ribosomal RNA", at positions 27 to 319 of the family's 1831-position model. The record is from RNAcentral. Lineage: Eukaryota; Bigyra; Opalinata; Blastocystidae.